Molecule: transfer-messenger RNA, 344 nt
Filed under: Candidatus Copromonas avistercoris (nom. illeg.)
Lineage: Bacteria; Bacillati; Bacillota; Clostridia; Lachnospirales; Lachnospiraceae
Rfam family: transfer-messenger RNA
About the family: Bacterial tmRNA, also known as 10Sa RNA or SsrA, is named for its dual tRNA and mRNA-like properties.
Source: RNAcentral
GGGCUUGUACUGGUUUCGACGGGGGCUAUGAAGCUGGUGAAGCUAUCCGCAUGCGAUGCGUUAAAUGGCAAACCUAAAUAUAAACGCUAACGACAACGAAUUAGCAUUUGCAGCUUAAUUAAAGCUGCUGUCGGCCCCGGAGCACCUGCACUCCGGAUCUCCGGCAUCAUUUGAUGCAGGAAACGACACGCGUUAAGCUUUGCGCGCGCGGGCGUAAUAUGAAGCUACUGAAGGCGUCAGGGUGUCUGUUUUCGGACGCUGGAGGGAAUGUCAAAUAACAGACUAUGAUAGUAGAAGAACAGGGGAUUGGUUUUCGGACAGGGGUUCGAUUCCCCUCAGGUCCA